Molecule: long non-coding RNA, 326 nt
Organism: Haliotis rufescens (red abalone)
Lineage: Eukaryota; Metazoa; Mollusca; Gastropoda; Lepetellida; Haliotidae
Exons: 3
Source: RefSeq, a predicted model, not a curated record
UAUGCUUGGGUCAGUCACUACCCUAUCAGCUCCUUUGUGUCAGCCAGGGCAAAUGUUCUGGUUGAGUGGUUCCCUAUUGUUUUCCUUAGGGUCAGCUUUGCAUGCUUUUUAACCCUCACUUGCACCUCAGUCACUACACAGACAAGUCACUGACAGGCGACAGCAAGUGGACACAUUUUACAGAUUUUGUAAGGCAAGGUACUUUGAUGUCACUGUAGCCCUGACCAUGUAGUCAUGACAGGCUAAAGUGUAACCUACACCUAGAGGCCAUACUUCUGGGUGUGAACGAAAGGGUAUACCACUCGUCAUCUAAUAAACGAAUCACU